AUGGCCAUGGCCAUGUUCACGAUAGCCGCCCACGUCCUCCGCCGCCUGCCUGCGAUGAGCGCGGCCCGGUCGUGUCCGGCGCACAACCAAGGCCGCAGGUUUCUCACUACGAACAAGGUGCACGGCCUCUUCAUCAACUACAUCGACCACUGCCGGCCGCACCUCUUCGCCCGCCCCUCCCCCAACUCCAUGGUCGACCCCAUGCUUGACUUCCUGCCCGACGACAACGAUCGGCGCUGGUGGUGGUCGAUCCUGGACCACAGCAACGGCCUCCUCCUCUGCAACAUGGGACCGGGCGAGCUCUGCGUGCUUAACCCGGCAACGAGGCGGUGGACAAUUCUACCCUGGCCCCGGCAGGCACCGGCUGCGCUUGAUCCUGCAGUGCCUGGGGAGCCACCGUCGCUAGACCCGUCAUCUGUGGACAAGGAUAAUGACUUGCGCCACUUGAUGGAACUGGAAUCGCCACGGACUUCAUGGGCGUUGAUGAGGAUCUUAAGGGUACCGCCCCGGCACGAUCUUUGUGCCGGCGUGUACCUUGCAUUUGAUCCUGCUGUGUCGCCGCACUAUGAGCUGUUGACGAUCCCUGCCAUACCUGGCGCGCCUAACAAGCUAGCAUUCAGAGCAGCCAAAGGAAGAAGCAGCAAUGAUAAUGAUAAGAGCCGCUUAAUGGAAUCGGAAUGGCCACCGACUAUUUGGAGGUUAAACAUGUAUUCAUCAAGGACUGGUCAGUGGGAGGAGAGGGAUUUCGUCCGCCAGGGAGAGCCGGCAGGAACAGUUGGAGACAUGCUCAAAGAUCGAGCUGAGCUAUCUUGGGGGCCACGCCAACGCUAUGCAGUGUAUUAUCAAGGAGCACUUUAUGUGCACUGUCGAGGUUCCUUUGUUUUGAGGCUUUCAUUGUCAAACGGUAUAUAUCAAGUGAUUAGAACACCAUCAUAUGGUGAGGGCAAGAUAUUUGGAAAACCGUAUCUAGGGAGAUCAGAGAAAGGUGUGUACUUUGGAAUAAUUGAGGAGUCCCAACUACGGGUUUGGAUCCUUAGUGAAUUAAGUGAACAACGGAUGGAGUGGAUCUUAAAGUAUGAACAUGACCUUGCCCAGUAUGCCCUACAUCUAGGAAAAUUUGAGCGCCAAAUGGAUGCACCUUGGAUGGUACAUGAUGUGUCUGACACUCAUCACGAGGCUGCUCAUGUUGGUGCUAAAACUUCGGGGAAAGUGAGAUUUGACUGGGAUUCUGACAAUGAUGACUUUUUUACAGUUAAAUUUGAUCCAAAUGAAGACCCCAAUUUCUUUGAUAUUCUUGGAUUCCAUCCUUGCAAGGGUCUUUCUGAAUCAAAUGUUUAG
RNAcentral lists this ribosomal RNA (1338 nucleotides) under Triticum aestivum (bread wheat). Its description in RNAcentral is "partial small subunit ribosomal RNA". The record is from RNAcentral. Lineage: Eukaryota; Viridiplantae; Streptophyta; Magnoliopsida; Poales; Poaceae.